Molecule: ribosomal RNA, 919 nt
Filed under: uncultured bacterium
Lineage: Bacteria
Description: bacterial SSU rRNA
Rfam family: Bacterial small subunit ribosomal RNA
Source: RNAcentral
AGAGUUUGAUCCUGGCUCAGAACGAACGCUGGCGGCGUGCUUAACACAUGCAAGUCGAACGUGAAGGGGAGCUUGCUCCCUGGAAAGUGGCGCACGGGUGAGUAACGCGUGGAUAAUCUGCCUGACGAUCUGGGAUAACAUCUCGAAAGGGGUGCUAAUACCGGAUAAGCCCACGGGGUCUUCGGAUUCUGCGGGAAAAGGGGGGGACCUUCGGGCCUUCUGUCGUCAGAUGAGUCCGCGUACCAUUAGCUAGUUGGUAGGGUAAAGGCCUACCAAGGCGACGAUGGUUAGCUGGUCUGAGAGGAUGAUCAGCCACACUGGAACUGAGACACGGUCCAGACUCCUACGGGAGGCAGCAGUGGGGAAUUUUGCGCAAUGGGGGAAACCCUGACGCAGCAACGCCGCGUGAGUGAUGAAGGCCUUCGGGUCGUAAAGCUCUGUCAGAGGGAAAGAAAUGCAUGGUGGCUAAUAACCAUUGUGCUUGACGGUACCCUCAAAGGAAGCACCGGCUAACUCCGUGCCAGCAGCCGCGGUAAUACGGAGGGUGCGAGCGUUGUUCGGAUUUAUUGGGCGUAAAGCGCGUGUAGGCGGUUUUUUAAGUCUGAUGUGAAAGCCCCGGGCUCAACCUGGGAAGUGCAUUGGAUACUGGAAGACUUGAGUACGGGAGAGGGCAGUGGGAUUCCCAGUGUAGGAGUGAAAUCCGUAGAUAUUGGGAGGAACACCGGUGGCGAAGGCGGCUGCCUGGACCGAUACUGACGCUGAGACGCGAAAGCGUGGGGAGCAAACAGGAUUAGAUACCCUGGUAGUCCACGCCGUAAACGAUGAGUACUAGGUGUUGCGGGUAUUGACCCCUGCAGUGCCGCAGCUAACGCAUUAAGUACUCCGCCUGGGAAGUACGGUCGCAAGACUAAAACUCAAA